This 95-nucleotide transfer RNA is filed under the name bacterium. RNAcentral describes it as "tRNA-Ser". It matches the Rfam family "tRNA". Rfam says of the family: Transfer RNA (tRNA) molecules are approximately 80 nucleotides in length. Their secondary structure includes four short double-helical elements and three loops (D, anti-codon, and T loops). The record is from RNAcentral. RNAcentral also lists the same sequence under 2 other names.
GGAGAGGUGGCCGAGUUGGCCGAAGGCGGUCGCCUGCUAAGCGACUGUAGCGGCACAAACCGCUACCGCGGGUUCGAAUCCCGCCCUCUCCGCCA